AUAGUUCAGUGACAAGAGCAUCUGAUUUGUAUGCAGAGGGUUGUGGGUGCCCUUGGAGCUAUCCACUGUCUGACAUCCCAGAGAUUCAUUGCAAAAACUGUCGGCAAUGCUGAACUAAAUGGACUAGUGGUCUGACUGUCAACACAGAGCUUUCAGCCCAAUUUCCAACCAUGAAGAGCCUCCACCAUUUCUCAGUUCUCGUCUUCUCGGUGCUGCUGCUUGUUGAUCCAGGAUUUAGUAGAGGCAUUUUGAAGAAAACGGAUUGUCACAGCUCCAGUGGAAGUUGCUUUCCAAUAACUUGCCCCUGGCCCUUUGCAAACCAUAUCGGAGAAUGCAUUUGGCCCAUUUUGCGGUGCUGCUUGUAUAACAGCAGGUCAACAUGAUGGAGGCUCCACGAUAUACCAAGAAAAACAACCCAAAGAAUAAUUUGUAAAUGUGUCGUCUGUUGGCUUUUGCAAGAGUCUCUGUUCUUUGGAAUAAUCCUCCAGGUUUCUGAGACAGGCAGAUGGUGCCCCAACCCGUACUCUUUUGCCAACCCAAGACUUGGUGCAUGCCAUGAAGACAGUCACACCUUGUAAAAGAUUGUAAGAAAGGGUUUACGUCAAUGGAUAAGGUUGGGCAGGCAGCAGGGGGGAGGGAGAAUUAGACCAUCACCGAUGUAAGGAAGGGAAGUCGCCAAGAUAAAUAAAUAGAUUCUGAUGUAAAUUGUAUGUUAUGUGAUCUUAAUGUAAGAGAAUGUAAAAUAAUAAACAUGUUUUGGAGGAGGAGGAGGAGAUACAGUACAGU
This is a non-coding RNA of Podarcis muralis (Common wall lizard), 786 nucleotides long. Lineage: Eukaryota; Metazoa; Chordata; Lepidosauria; Squamata; Lacertidae. The record is from RefSeq and is a predicted model, not a curated record.